CUCCCCACCUUGCGGGGGUGGUCUCCAUGGCGACGGUGACGCGGCUGCGGCGCCAUGUCGGACCUGGGCUCGGAAGAGUUUGAGGAGGAGGCGGAGACCGACCUCGGGGAGUAUGAUGGUGAGCGCAAUGCAGCAGGUGAACGGCAUGGACAUGGACGAGCUCGGUUACCCAAUGGUGAUACAUAUGAAGGAGAAUAUGCAUAUGGUCUAAGAAACGGAUUGGGAACCUACAGAUUUAAAAAUGGUGCUCGCUACAUUGGAGAAUACCUUCAAAACAGAAAGCAUGGCCAUGGCAUUUUUAUGUAUCCAGAUGGAUCAAAGUAUGAAGGAGAAUGGGUGGAGGAUGAAAGACAUGGCAACGGAGUAUAUUACUAUGCAAAUGGAGACACCUACACUGGAGAAUGGUUUAACCAUAGAAGGCAUGGACAAGGUACAUACAUCUAUGCAGACACUGGCUCUAAAUAUGUUGGUGGCUGGGUUAAUGGGAGCCAGGAAGGAGGAGCUGAACUCAUUCACCUGAACCACAGAUACCAGGGCAAGUUUGUAAAUAAAUACCCAAUAGGUCAUGGAAAGUAUGUCUUUGAUAUUGGGUGUGAACAGCAUGGGGAAUACGUACAGUCAGAUCUGGACAAAGGGGAGGAGGAAGAAGAGGAGGAAACUUCAGCCGUAAUUUCUCCAAAAUGGAAAGCAACAAAAAUUACUAAAUUGACUCUCUGGACUCCUGCCCCUGAGAAACCCCCACCUCCUGAAGAGCCUGCAGCAGCAGCAGCAGCAGCAGCAGCAGCAGCAGAAGAGGAGCCAGCAAAUGCAGUUUCUCCCAUCUCAGUUGCUGCAGAAGUUGUUGAGAGUGCAGAGCCUCCUGCUGAAGAGUCAACUGAAGCUAUAACCUCACCUAAAGAAUCAGAAGAGGAGGAGGAAGUUAACAAAGAAGAUGAAGUGGAUCAAGGUGAAGAAGAAAGAGAAACAAUAAAUACUAAUUUAGAAGAGAAGGAGGAGGAAACAAAGGAAGCUGACGAGACAGACAUAAGUAGAGAUGAUUAACACCAAAUAAGGAAAUUACACAGAAAAACCUAGGAGUCACCUAGACUGAUGUGAAAACUGGAUGACACCUGGAGAGCCAACACACAAGUGAGAAACUUGAGGGAGACAACAUCUCUAUAUCUACAGCAAUAAGCUGAGUUUCUGAGUAGGAGUCAGUGGAGUCAGACAGAUGCUGUGGAAAGUGAGAAACUAGCACCUUUGCUGUGACAUACAUUUGAAUACCUGUUGAUCCAGGAAAAUGAAAGGAUUCCUCCAUCAACUCAUUUAAAGCAAAGGACUUUACUUAGCUGAAGAAAUCCCCUGCACCCAGUUCGGUGUGAGGUACCGAUCACCCAGCCUUCACUGACAUCAGAUUGCUGUGUUCGGUCAACGAAUAUCAAAUCCCCAGCAUUCAGCAUUAGUUCAUCAAUGUUCUGAGGCUUGUAUUGGAAAAUUGCUCGCAAGGUCUGAUGGAGAAUAAAAAAAUAUGUCACUUCCAGGACUCUAUUAUAAAUUAUGGGGAAUUUCAGAGAAGAUCUGUGCACUGUACACUGAAAAAUCAAUGCCUUUUGUAUACAGUAACUUAUUUAUGGAUGACAUUUUUCUUUAGCAGAGAUAGAGUGUAAUAGUAUAGGUCCAAUAUAUACAUAAAAUGAAUGUCCAGUACAUUUGGUCUUCAUAAAAAAGUUACGUACAACAACAAUAGAUUAGUAACUACAUAAAAUAUUUUAUGGUACAUUUCCCGCAACAAUUUUCAGUUCUCCCAUAUUGCCAAUAAAAUCCUGCUAUAAGAUCCUGAAUAGCACAAUAUACUGUAUUGGAAUGAUAUGUUUGAAAACUGCUGAAAAAUCAACAUGAACAUUUUAAAAAAUUUAUUAAAAAAUGAAAAAUG
This is an RNA transcript of Alligator mississippiensis (American alligator), 1912 nucleotides long. It is a transcript of the gene named radial spoke head component 1, with no coding region annotated. The record is from RefSeq and is a predicted model, not a curated record. The transcript is spliced from 12 exons. NCBI's taxonomy places the organism in Eukaryota, Metazoa, Chordata, Crocodylia, Alligatoridae.